RNAcentral lists this ribosomal RNA (497 nucleotides) under uncultured bacterium. RNAcentral's name for it is "partial 16S ribosomal RNA". It matches the Rfam family "Bacterial small subunit ribosomal RNA", at positions 28 to 507 of the family's 1533-position model. The record is from RNAcentral.
GAUGAACGCUGGUGGCGUGCCUAAUACAUGCAAGUCGAGCGAACGGACGAGAAGCUUGCUUUUCUGAUGUUAGCGGCGGACGGGUGAGUAACACGUGGAUAACCUACCUAUAAGACUGGGAUAACUUCGGGAAACCGGAGCUAAUACCGGAUAAUAUUUUGAACCGCAUGGUUCAAAAGUGAAAGACGGUCUUGCUGUCACUUAUAGAUGGAUCCGCGCUGCAUUAGCUAGUUGGUAAGGUAACGGCUUACCAAGGCAACGAUGCAUAGCCGACCUGAGAGGGUGAUCGGCCACACUGGAACUGAGACACGGUCCAGACUCCUACGGGAGGCAGCAGUAGGGAAUCUUCCGCAAUGGGCGAAAGCCUGACGGAGCAACGCCUCGUGAGUGAUGAAGGUCUUCGGAUCGUAAAACUCUGUUAUUAGGGAAGAACAUAUGUGUAAGUAACUGUGCACAUCUUGACGGUACCUAAUCAGAAAGCCACGGCUAACUACGUG